UCCGUAGGGGGCUAGCGUUGUCCGGAAUCAUUGGGCGUAAAGCGCGCGUAGGCGGUCCGGUAAGUCCGCUGUGAAAGUCGGGGGCUCAACCCUCGGAUGCCGGUGGAUACUGUCGGGCUUGAGUGCGGAAGAGGCGAGUGGAAUUCCUGGUGUAGCGGUGAAAUGCGCAGAUAUCAGGAGGAACACCAAUUGCGAAGGCAGCUCGCUGGGACGUAACUGACGCUGAUGCGCGAAAGCGUGGGGAGCAAACAGG
RNAcentral lists this ribosomal RNA (253 nucleotides) under uncultured bacterium. RNAcentral describes it as "partial 16S ribosomal RNA". It matches the Rfam family "Bacterial small subunit ribosomal RNA", at positions 524 to 776 of the family's 1533-position model. The record is from RNAcentral.